RNAcentral lists this ribosomal RNA (502 nucleotides) under uncultured Massilia sp. RNAcentral's name for it is "partial 16S ribosomal RNA". The record is from RNAcentral. Lineage: Bacteria; Pseudomonadati; Pseudomonadota; Betaproteobacteria; Burkholderiales; Oxalobacteraceae.
CACGUAGUUAGCCGGUGCUUAUUCUUCAGGUACCGUCAUUAGCAAAGGAUAUUAGCCUCCACCGUUUCUUCCCUGACAAAAGAGCUUUACAACCCGAAGGCCUUCUUCACUCACGCGGCAUUGCUGGAUCAGGCUUGCGCCCAUUGUCCAAAAUUCCCCACUGCUGCCUCCCGUAGGAGUCUGGACCGUGUCUCAGUUCCAGUGUGGCUGGUCGUCCUCUCAGACCAGCUACUGAUCGUCGCCUUGGUGAGCCUUUACCUCACCAACUAGCUAAUCAGAUAUCGGCCGCUCUAAAAGCAUAAGGCCCGAAGGUCCCCUACUUUCAUCCGUGGAUCGUAUGCGGUAUUAGCGUAACUUUCGCUACGUUAUCCCCCACUUCUAGGUACGUUCCGAUAUAUUACUCACCCGUUCGCCACUCGUCAGCGGAGCAAGCUCCCUGUUACCGUUCGACUUGCAUGUGUAAAGCAUGCCGCCAGCGUUCAAUCUGAGCCAGGAUCAAACU